Molecule: ribosomal RNA, 253 nt
Filed under: uncultured bacterium
Lineage: Bacteria
Description: partial 16S ribosomal RNA
Rfam family: Bacterial small subunit ribosomal RNA
Source: RNAcentral
UACGUAGGGGGCAAGCGUUGUCCGGAUUUAUUGGGCGUAAAGAGCGUGUAGGCGGCCAGGUAGGUCCGUUGUGAAAACUCGAGGCUCAACCUCGAGACGUCGGCGGAAACCCUCUGGCUAGAGUCCGGAAGAGGAGAGUGGAAUUCCUGGUGUAGCGGUGAAAUGCGCAGAUAUCAGGAAGAACACCCGUGGCGAAGGCGGCUCUCUGGGACGGUACUGACGCUGAGACGCGAAAGCGUGGGGAGCGAACAGG